This 1547-nucleotide long non-coding RNA is filed under the name Nicotiana tabacum (common tobacco). RNAcentral's name for it is "long non-coding RNA (NTAB_LNC012982)". Lineage: Eukaryota; Viridiplantae; Streptophyta; Magnoliopsida; Solanales; Solanaceae. The record is from RNAcentral.
GAAGAACAGAUUUUUUCAACUUUGAGUUGUUAAAACUCGAAAAUUUGAAUUGUUCGUUCUUUUUUUUUUUCGAGAAUUUGAAUUGUAGUUCUGGAAACACGUUUUCUUUUAUUCAAUAAGUUUAUAAUGAUCAUGGCUCAAAAUUUUCCACGCAGCUACAAUGUUGCAAGAAAAGAUUGCAAGUCUGCAGCACAUGAAGGAACAAUAUGGUAAUGGUAGCGCUUGUUCGAUAGCAAAACAGCAAGAUAAAUCAAGAUAAAUGCCAAAGGAUCAAAUUGCAACGUAGAAUCAAUUAAUACCAAAAUUUUCUCCUUAAUUUUAGCGCGUUUUUAGGGAAUAUUCUGCUCUUUUAAUGCCUAAUAGUCGAAUGGUAUAUAAAUUGUAGUUAAAGUGUGGACUGGGCGGGUAAUUAAUAAACUAUGCACAUUUAGGGUAAUAAGGUUUCCUAUACCACAUAUGAAACUUUAUUACUCUCAAUGUUUAAAGUUUUAUUUAAUUACAAACCCGUAUACCAAAUUACCAAUUCUAUACCAUACUUAAUUAAGGGUCUAAUUAAUGGGCUAUUUUUACUCCUUAAUUAAAGGUAUCCAUAUCUAAUUAAUGGGCAGUUUUUACUCCUUAAUUAAAGGUAUCCAUAUAUCUCACGUUUCUAAUUCUCUCUCCUUACCCCUCACCCACGUUUUUACCCAUACCCCACAUUCAUUUUACCAUUUUCCCUCUUCUGUAACCAAACAAAAUUCCCUCUUUCUGGAAAGUGAUUUGUUUGAAUUCCGUUUCGACGUCACCUGGUCGAAAGGUUGCAGGCAUCACCAUCGUGGCCAUCAAGUGUCAUAAAACAACAUGGUCGAUAUGUUAGUGUCGAUCCAAUUAAUGGAAAAAGAUGUGAUACUAAAUCACUUCUAAACUUCUUCUCAUAUUUCUUGAUUGGAAUGUUAUGAAUUGCUAUUUUGGCAUCUUUUAUUUGUAGUUUUUUGUAGAAGUUUUGUAGAUGAAGAACUAAUUGUAGGAAUGUGACAUCCACAAUUAAUCUGCAAAUUAUCUGCAAAAUUUUACAAAAACUAUAAAUUAACUACAUUAAACCUACAUUAUAACUACAAUCUGGAAACAAUUUACACAUGAAAGUUCUUCAAGUUGGAAUUGACCACAGCUACGUUUCUUGUUUUCUUGAAAGAAAUUUUGUAGUAAAUCCAUACAAUAAUAACGCCAAAUACUGGCGGUGGCUGUGGCCAACACCAAUUUGGUACAUAUACAACCCUGAAGAUUUCAUUAAGGAGUAGUCAUGGGCCUUUGACAAGGAUGAAGAUCGAAUAAGAAAGGUUGGUUUAUUUGUAGUUUUUUUUUUAGAAAUUUUGUAGAUGAAGAGAAAAUUUUGUAGUCUAACAUUUUUUUCCAACAUAGAUUAUAGUUUAAUUGUAGUAUAAAUGUAGUAAUUUUAUAGAUAUCCUUAAAAACAAUACAACUUUAUACAAUACUUAAAUUGAUUUGUAGUUUAUUUGUAGAAAUUUUGUAGAUAAGAGAAAAUUUUGUAGUCAACAUUUUUUUUUUCA